CCUACGGGAGGCUGCAGUGGGGAAUAUUGCACAAUGGGCGCAAGCCUGAUGCAGCCAUGCCGCGUGUGUGAAGAAGGCCUUCGGGUUGUAAAGCACUUUCAGCGGGGAGGAAGGCGGUGAGGUUAAUAACCUCAUCGAUUGACGUUACCCGCAGAAGAAGCACCGGCUGACUCCGUGCCAGCAGCCGCGGUAAUACGGAGGGUGCAAGCGUUAAUCGGAAUUACUGGGCGUAAAGCGCACGCAGGCGGUCUGUCAAGUCGGAUGUGAAAUCCCCGGGCUCAACCUGGGAACUGCAUUCGAAACUGGCAGGCUAGAGUCUUGUAGAGGGGGGUAGAAUUCCAGGUGUAGCGGUGAAAUGCGUAGAGAUCUGGAGGAAUACCGGUGGCGAAGGCGGCCCCCUGGACAAAGACUGACGCUCAGGUGCGAAAGCGUGGGGAGCAAACAGGAUUAGAUACCCGGGUAGUC
RNAcentral lists this ribosomal RNA (465 nucleotides) under uncultured Klebsiella sp. RNAcentral's name for it is "bacterial SSU rRNA". It matches the Rfam family "Bacterial small subunit ribosomal RNA", at positions 338 to 795 of the family's 1533-position model. The record is from RNAcentral. Lineage: Bacteria; Pseudomonadati; Pseudomonadota; Gammaproteobacteria; Enterobacterales; Enterobacteriaceae.